GGCGGCGUAGCUCAACUGGUUAGAGCGUACGGUUCAUACCCGUAAGGUUGGGGGUUCGAGACCCUCCGCCGCUA
Marininema halotolerans is the source of this 74-nucleotide non-coding RNA. NCBI's taxonomy places the organism in Bacteria, Bacillati, Bacillota, Bacilli, Caryophanales, Thermoactinomycetaceae. The record is from Rfam.